CUGCCAGUAAGGCAAAAUCUGCUUAACCUACAAAUGUUUUGCAGAAGAUCAUUGCUGGCAAUACUAAUGCCCGAGUACGAGCCUUGAAGACUUUGUUGUCAUUGAGGUCCCAAUAAAGGCCACAUUG
Laticauda laticaudata (blue-ringed sea krait) is the source of this 127-nucleotide small nucleolar RNA. Ensembl annotates it as small nucleolar RNA, H/ACA box 33. The record is from Ensembl. Lineage: Eukaryota; Metazoa; Chordata; Lepidosauria; Squamata; Elapidae.